Molecule: ribosomal RNA, 257 nt
Filed under: uncultured Eubacteriales bacterium
Lineage: Bacteria; Bacillati; Bacillota; Clostridia; Eubacteriales
Description: uncultured Clostridiales bacterium partial 16S ribosomal RNA
Rfam family: Bacterial small subunit ribosomal RNA
Source: RNAcentral
AAGCAGAGGACAGUGGCGGACGGGUGAGUAACGCGUGGGUAACCUGCCUCAUACAGGGGGAUAACAGUUGGAAACGACUGCUAAUACCGCAUGAUACAUUUGGGUGGCAUCAUCUGAAUGUCAAAGAUUUAUCGCUGAAAAGAUGGCCUCGCGUCUGAUUAGCUGGUUGGUGAGGUAACAGCCCACCAAGGCGACGAUCAGUAGCCGGACUGAGAGGUUGACCGGCCACAUUGGGACUGAGAUACGGCCCAGACUCC